This 737-nucleotide ribosomal RNA is filed under the name Shimia sp. Its description in RNAcentral is "bacterial SSU rRNA". It matches the Rfam family "Bacterial small subunit ribosomal RNA", at positions 1 to 784 of the family's 1533-position model. Lineage: Bacteria; Pseudomonadati; Pseudomonadota; Alphaproteobacteria; Rhodobacterales; Roseobacteraceae. The record is from RNAcentral.
CAACUUGAGAGUUUGAUCCUGGCUCAGAACGAACGCUGGCGGCAGGCCUAACACAUGCAAGUCGAGCGAGGACUUCGGUUCUAGCGGCGGACGGGUUAGUAACGCGUGGGAACGUACCCUUUUCUACGGAAUAGCCUCGGGAAACUGAGAGUAAUACCGUAUACGCCCUUCGGGGGAAAGAUUUAUCGGAGAAGGAUCGGCCCGCGUUAGAUUAGAUAGUUGGUGGGGUAAUGGCCUACCAAGUCUACGAUCUAUAGCUGGUUUGAGAGGAUGAUCAGCAACACUGGGACUGAGACACGGCCCAGACUCCUACGGGAGGCAGCAGUGGGGAAUCUUAGACAAUGGGCGCAAGCCUGAUCUAGCCAUGCCGCGUGAGUGAUGAAGGCCUUAGGGUCGUAAAGCUCUUUCGCCUGUGAAGAUAAUGACUGUAGCAGGUAAAGAAACCCCGGCUAACUCCGUGCCAGCAGCCGCGGUAAUACGGAGGGGGUUAGCGUUGUUCGGAAUUACUGGGCGUAAAGCGCGCGUAGGCGGACAUUUAAGUCAGAGGUGAAAUCCCAGGGCUCAACCCUGGAACUGCCUUUGAUACUGGGUGUCUUGAGUUCGAGAGAGGUGAGUGGAAUUCCGAGUGUAGAGGUGAAAUUCGUAGAUAUUCGGAGGAACACCAGUGGCGAAGGCGGCUCACUGGCUCGAUACUGACGCUGAGGUGCGAAAGUGUGGGGAGCAAACAGGAUUAGAUA